RNAcentral lists this unclassified non-coding RNA (324 nucleotides) under Hevea brasiliensis (rubber tree). Lineage: Eukaryota; Viridiplantae; Streptophyta; Magnoliopsida; Malpighiales; Euphorbiaceae. The record is from RNAcentral.
GGGCUUGAGGUGUCACUGUUAGUAUCGAUAAAUCAGCUACAGGUCACUGAAGACUCAACUCUUGUGUCAAUUCAACGAUUUGACAUGAUUUACUUGUGGGUUCUCAGAAUCUAGUAAAGAGAAAUGGUCUAGCAUGUUGAUUUGAGUUGAAAAGGCAAAUAGGAAAGGAAGACGUUGUUGUGUUCUGAUGAUGAGUCGAGAGAUGAAGAAAGGGAAACAGGAUAUGAGUUCUGAUGCCGCGGAGAAAGUUAUGGUGGCUGUUAAGGCAUCAAAGGAAAUACCAAAAACAGCUCUUGUAUGGUCUUUGACUCAUGUUGUUCAGCC